ACAGCUCUUGCUCUGAAGAACACUCCUGCUCCCCUCUUGCAGCACCUGCAGGGCUGUGGGGAGGCAGAGCAGCCCAGGGCACCCCACAGCCAGGGCUGCAGAGGGAUAUGCCUUGCUGCAGCCUCUCCCCAGAGAAGUCUGCACCACCUGGACAUAUACACUGGAAAUGCAAACUGCUCCAUCCCCUGUGCUGAGGAGUUCAGCAACACCAACAAAGAAAGGGAAUAUAUAGGCACAUCAUAUGGCUUGUGAGCAAAGUACCCUGUGCUCUCUGUGACCAAGCCUCACCUAGUUUGGAUGCUGCUGACUCAUGCCCAGCUUACUAGCUACUGUCCCAUUAAUCAAAUUGUACAUUUCAGUGAGCAUGGUAUCUGUGUGUCUCUGCUUGCUAGGUAAGGUGGUGGUGCUCCAGAGUUAAGCUGGUGUGGGGAAAGGGUGCUCCACUCACCAUCGCUGGUUCCACUCGCUGGCAGCCUCCACAGAGCAGCAGAGUGUUCUUCAGUGGCCAAUCAGCAGCACCGUUGUCAACCAUUGAUCACACUGGCUGCCAGAGGUGAAAGAGAACAGGAGCCACUUUGUUCUUUCUUCGGUUUUCUUUCUCUCCAUCAGCAAAGCCUGGUGAUGUCCCUUUUUCACCCCAUCCUGCCAGACUCUGCUACGAGCUAUCGAAAGUAUUUGCAACUCUUAAGGUGUGAAUUUGCAAUCUUCCUGGAAAGGGAUGGUGGGCAGGGAGGUGCUGCCUGUGGAUCACUGCCUCUGAGACUUGCUGGGUGGCAACGGUAGAGUCCUCUUUCCUCCCGUGGAUCUGGCACAGAGGAGUCACAAACAAGAGCAGGGGAUGAUUCUCCAUCAGGAGGGCAGUGUGGAGAUACCAGCAGGUGUCAGUGCUUUGCCACAAUCCCAAGUAAUCUCAUUUAUGAAAAUAGCUAAAUUCCUGUAAACAAGG
Molecule: long non-coding RNA, 946 nt
Organism: Vidua macroura (Pin-tailed whydah)
Lineage: Eukaryota; Metazoa; Chordata; Aves; Passeriformes; Viduidae
Exons: 3
Source: RefSeq, a predicted model, not a curated record